Long non-coding RNA from Brassica oleracea var. oleracea, 607 nucleotides. RefSeq lists it as uncharacterized. The record is from RefSeq and is a predicted model, not a curated record. Lineage: Eukaryota; Viridiplantae; Streptophyta; Magnoliopsida; Brassicales; Brassicaceae. The transcript has 5 exons.
CAUUGCACCGCUCUCUCUCCUUUCGUCAGGGUUUCGACGAAAGCAAACAAAGUCUGAGAUCGUAUCGCUGCACUCAAAGGUGUCUGAUAAUCAAGCAAAUCAAUAAAGGGUGAUCUAAGAAACAAAGGAGAUAUUGAGAAACUCUUCUCCAAACAGAGGUUUGAUGUUGUGAUCCAUUUCGCGGGUCUUAAAGCUGUGGGUGAAAGGCUGAAAGCGUUGGCAACCCUGGCCGCUACUUCUACAAUAACUUGGUUGGAACUAUCAAUCUUUACGAGACCAUGGCAAAGCACAACUGCAAAAUGGUGAGGGACUACAUCCAUGUGAUGGAUUUGGCUGAUGGACAUAUCGCUGCACUGAGGAAGCUAUUUGAUGAUCCAAAGAUAGUGUACAAGUGGAUGAGUUUGGGUUGAUACGUUUGAAGCCAUGGAUGCAAACUUCACUGUGGUUUGCAGUGUACAAGUGGACAUCGAUUACAUGUUGUACACGUGGAUAUAGUCAUCAUCGAUUACAUGUUGUACACGUGGAUAUAGUCAUCUAAUUGUACAUGUGGAUAGUACAAUAUGUGUACACCAUAUACCACAAUAUGUGUACACUUUGAAAACUUUUA